AGAUCACUGAUUUCACCAGAAAGUUUUUGGAAGCCAUAAACAGGAAAUGGUUAAGUAAAAGCAGGUGGAGCAUGCUGACUGCAGGAACAACGCAGGAAAUAGCUGAGCGUCUGAAUGGAUGCAAAAAAAAUGCUCUUCUGCUCCGUCCUUGGCAAUCACAAUACAUUUACUCCUCCUCCUCCUCGUCCUCCUUCACUACCCUUAUCUCCCCAAGCUACAAAGUCUCGCAGUCUGCAAACACCUUUUGUUUGUGUAAUCUGCUCUCCUUGAACCAGCAGGGGAGAGCUGGCACGUUCUGCUUGGGAGGCAACGGACAAGAGGGAUUCACCUCCUGUGCAAAGGAUGAGUCAGAAACACCCAGCAAUAACCACUGCCUGUCAGGGGCUCUAGGUCUGAGAAGCAGGAACAGCAUUGCUCACUACUUCCUCAGGUGGUGCAGUCCCAAGUGUAUUUAGCAAAAGUCAGAAAAACAUUAUUCCUAUUGCCCCUUUCAUUCUAGAGGGCUCCCAAAGCACUUAGUCGUAGGAAUCAUUCUCCAUCUCUACUGAAACACAGUCCCUUCUGGGGCAGAGCACUGCAGCUGUUUAACAGCUCAUAGCAACAUCACACAAGCAGAUGGAAAAGAAAGCGAAAUGUUAUCUGCAGAGACUUGGCUCUGGAGACUGGGAUCUGCUUGCCAACAUACUGCCUCUGGGUGCAUUCAGUCCCAAGGGUCGAGUUUCCACUGCCACACUCAUCCCUGGCUGUGCUGCCAGACAUGCUGCAGGAUGGAGGGCAGACGUACUGGGUGUCAUCAGAAUUAUGGGGGUCUUGAAGAAGACUAAUGAAACAGAGUCAAGACACGGAAACCUCAGAAUAACAUGACCUGCCACCCCAGCAAAUGUGGUUGUGAUGUUCCAGAGAUAUAAGCAACACUGCCCCAUUCUCAGGAUUCAUUGAGCACAGUUUAUGUGAUGCUGGUUCUGAUCAUUUGCAAUUGCAUAUUAGCACAACCUCCCUGAAUUUUGUCUUGGAAAGCUCAGUGACUUUAGGACGUUUGGCAUUAAGAACUGCCCUUUCCAGUAUGAGAAUCUGAAUGAGGUGCUGCACAAUUCUCAUU
RNA transcript from Pezoporus occidentalis (night parrot), 1099 nucleotides. RefSeq lists it as uncharacterized. The transcript has 3 exons. The record is from RefSeq and is a predicted model, not a curated record. Lineage: Eukaryota; Metazoa; Chordata; Aves; Psittaciformes; Psittacidae.